UACGUAGGGUGCGAGCGUUAAUCGGAAUUACUGGGCGUAAAGCGUGCGCAGGCGGUUCGUCGAGUCGGAGGUGAAAUCCCCGGGCUUAACCUGGGAAUUGCCAUGGAAACUGGCGAACUGGAGUGCGGCAGAGGGGGGUGGAAUUCCGCGUGUAGCAGUGAAAUGCGUAGAGAUGCGGAGGAACACCGAUGGCGAAGGCAGCCCCCUGGGCUAGCACUGACGCUCAGGCACGAAAGCGUGGGGAGCAAACAGG
Molecule: ribosomal RNA, 253 nt
Filed under: uncultured bacterium
Lineage: Bacteria
Description: partial 16S ribosomal RNA
Rfam family: Bacterial small subunit ribosomal RNA
Source: RNAcentral